Molecule: ribosomal RNA, 497 nt
Filed under: uncultured bacterium
Lineage: Bacteria
Description: partial 16S ribosomal RNA
Rfam family: Bacterial small subunit ribosomal RNA
Source: RNAcentral
GACGAACGCUGGCGGCGUGCCUAAUACAUGCAAGUAGAACGCUGAAGAGAGGAGCUUGCUCUUCUGGGAUGAGUUGCGAACGGGUGAGUAACGCGUAGGUAACCUGCCUUGUAGCGGGGGGUAACUAUUGGAAACGAUAGCUAAUACCGCAUAACAAUGGAUGACACAUGUCAUUUAUGUGAAAGGGGCAAUUGCUCCACUACAAGAUGGACCUGCGUUGUCUUAGAUAGUAGGGGAGGUAAGGGCUCACCUAGGCGACGAUACAUAGCCGACCUGAAAGGGUGCUAGGCCAAGCUGGGAUGGAGGCACGGCCCACAACCCUACGGGAGGGAGCCGUAGGGAAUCUUUGGCAAUGGGGGCAAUCCUGACCGAGCCACGCCGCGUGAGUGCAGAAGGUUUUCGGAUCGUAAAGCUCUGUUGUAAGUCAAGAACGGGUGUGAGAGUGGACAGUUCACACUGUGACGGUAGCUUACCAGAAAGGGACGGCUAACUACGUG